CGGACGGGUGAGUAAUGCUUGGGAAUCUGGCUUAUGGAGGGGGAUAACUGUGGGAAACUGCAGCUAAUACCGCGUAUUCUCUGAGGAGGAAAGGGUGGGACCUUAGGGCCACCUGCCAUAAGAUGAGCCCAAGUGGGAUUAGGUAGUUGGUGGGGUAAAGGCCUACCAAGCCUGCGAUCUCUAGCUGGUCUGAGAGGAUGACCAGCCACACUGGAACUGAGACACGGUCCAGACUCCUACGGGAGGCAGCAGUGGGGAAUAUUGCGCAAUGGGGGGAACCCUGACGCAGCCAUGCCGCGUGAAUGAAGAAGGCCUUCGGGUUGUAAAGUUCUUUCGGUAAUGAGGAAGGGAUGUUGUUAAAUAGAUAGCAUCAUUGACGUUAAUUACAGAAGAAGCACCGGCUAACUCCGUGCCAGCAGCCGCGGUAAUACGGAGGGUGCGAGCGUUAAUCGGAAUAACUGGGCGUAAAGGGCACGCAGGCGGACUUUUAAGUGAGAUGUGAAAUCCCCGAGCUUAACUUGGGAACUGCAUUUCAGACUGGGAGUCUAGAGUACUUUAGGGAGGGGUAGAAUUCCACGUGUAGCGGUGAAAUGCGUAGAGAUGUGGAGGAAUACCGAAGGCGA
RNAcentral lists this ribosomal RNA (623 nucleotides) under uncultured Pasteurella sp. RNAcentral's name for it is "bacterial SSU rRNA". It matches the Rfam family "Bacterial small subunit ribosomal RNA", at positions 99 to 718 of the family's 1533-position model. Lineage: Bacteria; Pseudomonadati; Pseudomonadota; Gammaproteobacteria; Pasteurellales; Pasteurellaceae. The record is from RNAcentral.